UUAAAUCAUAAUAUAAAGAAUAUUUGUCUUAAUCACAAAUAAGAUCAUUAUAAACUUCGACUAAUUUUUACAUGCGAAAAGAUCAAUUUAUUUGCAUAUUGAUUACAAUUAUUAGAGUCUAUAAAGAUUCAUCUCAUGUUCUAUAUAUUUCUUUUUAAAUUAUAUAAGAUAGUGAAUAUAUCAAGAAAAAUAACCAUGUUACAUCUUUCUAUAAAAAUUGAUAAUAAUAAAAAAAUUGAAGUAGAAAAAGUCUUAGAUCUAAGGAAGUGCAUAAAUAGAUUAGAAUAUCUUGUACAUUGGCAUAGAUAUGAUAUUAAUGAAUACUCAUGAAAGCCACAUAAGAAUCUUGUAAACAAAGCAAAGAAAGUUGAUGUUUUUUAUGGACAACAACUAUCAAAAUCAUAAUAAAGAGGCUCAAAAUUAUUUUUUAUAAAUCAAAGUACAUCCAAUAAAGAUUACAUUCUAUCUUUUAUUCAUAUUUGUAAUUAUUUUAUAUUUGUAGUAUUGAUAAGAUGGAGAAUCAAAAAUCAAAAAAUUUAAUUUAAGAAUUAUUCUAUGUAGAGUCAUUAAAUAAGCCAUUGAGAUUGUCAUAGCCUUUAAGAUGACCUAAUAGAAAUGAAGACCGUCAAGAACAACAUGUCUUGUUGGAAUUGAUAGCAAGACACAACAAAUUAGGUCUUACAAUCUUAGAAGAGAUGCUUUAUAUUUGGUGAUAUUAUUGGAGGUAGAAAUCAAUCUUAAUGGUGUUUUAAAUGAUUUAUUUGAAGAAAGUAAUAAAAUCCUUAACAAUUAUCUAAUAAAAAGUGUUCUCUUUUUUUUAAUAUAUGACACUAUUGAUAGUUGAAAGGACUUAUCAAUUACUUGUAAAGUGAACAAAGAUCAUAGUAUAUAGAAACUAUAAUUUGCCACAUUUUAAACAUUUUCAACAUGUAACUACUACUCUUUAUGGAACUUAUUUCUAUAAGAGAAGAUAAAGCUAUGAACAAAUUUAUACUAUAAUAUUAAAAAGAGUUAUGUAGAAGUAAAUAGGAGUAUAAAAUUUUAAUGAUAUUUUAUAAAAAAACUUCUUAAAAACUUUAUAAACAUGGAUUUGACUUCCCAAAUGUUGUAAGUGAUUAAUAGAUUGAUAACUUAGACAACAAGUUAUGCAUGUAGCACACAUAUUAGAAACUUGUCUUGCAAUUAGAAGCAUAUGCCUCAAAUUAAUUUAUAAAACAUUUGAAUUUAUUUCAGUAGUACAAACAUGUUGCUAAUUAAUAUUUAUAGUGAUCGUAAGACUUUACACAAUCAUUAAAAUAUAAUUCAUAGUAUAAAUUUAACAAAGAAAAUAUUACAUUUUGC
Molecule: long non-coding RNA, 1341 nt
Filed under: Physcomitrium patens
Lineage: Eukaryota; Viridiplantae; Streptophyta; Bryopsida; Funariales; Funariaceae
Description: long non-coding RNA (PPAT_LNC007131)
Source: RNAcentral